GCUAGCGGCAGGCCUAACACAUGCAAGUACGAGGGGUAACAGGGAAAGCUUGCUUUCCGCUGACGACCGGCGAACGGGUGCGUAACACGUAUGCAACCUACCUUCCACUGGGGUAUAGCCCAGAGAAAUCUGGAUUAAUCCCCCAUAGAACCAAGAGUCGCAUGGCUCAAUGGUUAAAGGAUUCCGGUGGAAGAUGGGCAUGCGUCCCAUUAGCUAGUAGGUGAGGUAACGGCUCACCUAGGCAACGAUGGGUAGGGGGUCUGAGAGGAUGAUCCCCCACACUGGUACUGAGACACGGACCAGACUCCUACGGGAGGCAGCAGUGAGGAAUAUUGCGCAAUGGACGAAAGUCUGACGCAGCCAUGCCGCGUGAAGGAUGACUGCCCUAUGGGUUGUAAACUUCUUUUAUAUACCAAGAAACCUCGGGACGUGUCCCGAGCUGACGGUAGUAUAUGAAUAAGCACCGGCUAACUCCGUGCCAGCAGCCGCGGUAAUACGGAGGGUGCAAGCGUUAUCCGGAUUUAUUGGGUUUAAAGGGUCCGUAGGUGGACCAUUAAGUCA
This 561-nucleotide ribosomal RNA is filed under the name uncultured Bacteroidota bacterium. RNAcentral's name for it is "bacterial SSU rRNA". It matches the Rfam family "Bacterial small subunit ribosomal RNA", at positions 35 to 590 of the family's 1533-position model. The record is from RNAcentral. Lineage: Bacteria; Pseudomonadati; Bacteroidota.